Molecule: ribosomal RNA, 562 nt
Filed under: uncultured bacterium
Lineage: Bacteria
Description: bacterial SSU rRNA
Rfam family: Bacterial small subunit ribosomal RNA
Source: RNAcentral
CCUACGGGAGGCAGCAGUGGGGAAUAUUGGACAAUGGGCGCAAGCCUGAUCCAGCAAUGCCGCGUGAGUGAUGAAGGCCUUAGGGUCGUAAAGCUCUUUUACCAGGGAUGAUAAUGACAGUACCUGGAGAAUAAGCUCCGGCUAACUCCGUGCCAGCAGCCGCGGUAAUACGGAGGGAGCUAGCGUUGUUCGGAAUUACUGGGCGUAAAGCGUACGUAGGCGGUUAUUCAAGUCAGAGGUGAAAGCCCGGGGCUCAACCCCGGAACGGCCUUUGAAACUAGGUAGCUAGAAUCUUGGAGAGGUCAGUGGAAUUCCGAGUGUAGAGGUGAAAUUCGUAGAUAUUCGGAAGAACACCAGUGGCGAAGGCGACUGACUGGACAAGUAUUGACGCUGAGGUACGAAAGCGUGGGGAGCAAACAGGAUUAGAUACCCUGGUAGUCCACGCCGUAAACCGAUGAUAACUAGCUGUUCGGGCACUUGGUGCUUGAGUGGCGCAGCUAACGCAUUAAGUUAUCCGCCUGGGGAGUACGGUCGCAAGAUUAAAACUCAAAGGAAUUGACGG